RNAcentral lists this long non-coding RNA (9503 nucleotides) under Sorghum bicolor (sorghum). RNAcentral's name for it is "long non-coding RNA (SBIC_LNC002917)". The record is from RNAcentral. Lineage: Eukaryota; Viridiplantae; Streptophyta; Magnoliopsida; Poales; Poaceae.
GCUGGGAACUCUGAGCUUUAUUUUUAAAACUUAUGCAAAACUCCGGAACAAAGGUGAAGUAUAGACAGGAGGAAUAGUGCUUGACUUAAUUAUUUUGUCCUUCAAUAACUUAAGACUUAAGUGCAGGUACUAAGCCCCUUGACACUUUGUUGUGCAUUCUUAACGUCACUACCAAAAGUAGACUUAGUUUUCUAAUUCUGAUAACGGCGCCAAAAAUGCCAAACCUAUCCCUCAUGCCACUUAAGCCAAGUUGUCAUCCCCAGCAUGACAUAAGAGACGCGGUAUUGAAAUAUGCAAUUGCUCUUCUAAAUAAAUAACAAAUGAGAUCUGCAAGCGCACAGAUUAAUAUCGAUGUAGCAUUUUAAUCGGGAAGUAUUCCAGGUAUCGUUACUUAUAUUUUUACCACUGGGAAGGGAUUGCUAAACAUCAAUGUUGAUUAUAGAAUGGAAUAUAGAAUUGAGUAUCUAUCAUUGCAUGUAUAAUUGAGAGAACCGACAGGCCGGCCUCUCCUCUAAUCCUCCUUCGCUCUCCAUCUCGCUACUAUCUAGAUCUACUCUAGUUUAUAGAAGAGAGGAGAGCUCUCAUCUCUAAACCCUAGCUUUUGCUCUGUCUAUGAAUAAUGAAUAAUGAUCAAGGGGUGCCUCCUCCAGGGGCCAGGGGGUCUGGUUUUAUAGUCCCCUCAAGUGAACCUGGGCCGUCGGAUCAAACCGACAUUGAUUGAACGGUUAUUCUUGAUCCUUUAGGUCGGUGGAGCAUAAUCCGCGAGAUUGAGCGUGAUUGGCCACAGGAGGUGGGCGGGCGCCCAGUAGGACACGGCGGGCGCCCUGUCUCUGGCCCCGAUUCGCCUCCGCUUCGGUCUCGUGGCUUCUGGAGUCUUCUAGAUGUAAGAUAAUUGCGCGGCACGUUGAUAUCUCUAUGUAAUCCCGACGUGUGGGCCUUUCUUCCUUAUUUCCUGAUAACCCCCUGCAGAAAUAGACAAACACCAAAACUCGUGGAAUUCUGUCAGAUAAAACCCUAAGUCUAGAUGUUGAUUUCAUUUGGAUCCUUUUCUUUGUUUAUUUGAUAAUUAAAUUUGAUACUUAAGGACCGUCAACAAACUCCCCCAAGCUUACCUCUUGCUCAUCCCUGAGCAAGGAUAGACUCAGCUAUGGAUCAUAAGUUGUUGCAAUAUCUUUAAAAAUUGACGGUACACAUGCUUUUUAAAUAAGUUCUCAUCUCUGAGUUAGAGUAAACUGUCAAGAACUAAAACUUACUUACUUUACCUUUCACCAUGAGACUUGUAACCGUCACUUUUGUCUUGAGUGUUUAAAGGAUAGAACAGUCCAGUCAAGUGCCAUGUCUCUUAUUCUUGAUCAGCUAUAGCUCUGGAGUUUUUUGGAGAUUUUCAAAUAAAACUCAGAGAUUCCUUUGUAUGACUCUCUCAUAUCUCUCUUUUGUGGUAUUUCUGGAUCCUUACCAAGGCAGUGAUAUGCCUUCUCUCAAAAUAUGUGGUAUUUGUGGUAUAAGGGAUAGUGACAUUGUCUUCUCUCUCACCCUACUCUAAUAAGGCUUUAAUAUCUGGAGCUCAUAGGUGGGAGAUAAAAUAUACAUACUUACAAGACAUUUAUUGUAUAGUCAAACCAUGGAUCCAAAGAAACAAAUCAAUAAGCCAAAUCAAGAUGUGCAUGUGUGGCGAAUGAAUAGUGUAUGGUGAUGAUGGUGAUAACAAUGGUGAAAGUCUAAUUCUACUUUUGCUCUUUUGAGGGGAUACAUACCUUCCUUGCUUUUUGAAACUUUAUGAGGAGAAUGAGAUGCUCUUCUUUUUCUUUUCUCUCAGAUGGGUAUCCUGUACCCCUAAUUCUACUGUCGGACACUUGUCCAUUUUUACCUCUCGUCUCACUUUUUCUUUCUUUCGAGGUUCCGGGCACUUGCCCCCUUUUUAUUUCUUCGUUUAUUAUUUUUUUUUCUUUUUUUUUCUUCUCUUUUUUUUCAGAGCACUCAUCUCUUGAGAUAAUAUAGCAAGUGGUAGUAGCAAGAUAACUUGAGCAUUUAUUUCACAAGGGAAAAACACAGAUGUUUUUGGCUAUUCUCUCCCGAAUUAGGAGUAGAAUAUUUUUAGGUGAUUCUGGAGAUGGAAAUGGAUGGAUAUAUGUGGAUGGUACUUCCGGAGUAGAAGUAGCAUAUAUAUGAGUGAACGUGCAAGUGAAUCUUGAUUUAACCACAUGACAAGCUCCUAAGGGUCUACACAGCUUGACCACACUCAAUGCUCAUAAGCAGUAAAUAAUAAAUGUGUGGCUUAAAGUCUAGCAAGCAUGUAUAUAUGGCUGUGGUAGGAAUUUAAACUCUCAUCAUACAGGAACUCAUCAUGCAAUAUUUUAAAGAUUUUUCAAAGAUAAAAUUCUCCAGAAUUCUAGCAUCUCUAGGAAUAGAUAAACAGCAGCUCAACCUUCCCAUAUCAUAUCCGUUAACAACUUAGAUUUCAGAUCAAGUUUUCAUCCCACAAGUUUAGAUCUAGAGCAAGCUUUAAAUUAUAACAGUUAUGUCUAAACUUAAGAGAGAACUUCAAAUUUGCAAAUUAGGCAGAGCAGCUAUUCAUCAUAUCCAUGCUAGAGUUUUAUUAUUAAGAUUCAGAUUAGCAUAGCCACUUUAUUUAUUUAUUAAACACACUAAGCAAAAGAUAUAUAUAUAAGCACAAAAUCUUUAUUUGGUUUUUCAUAGUUUAUGUAUUUUAAUAUUCUAAUAUAAUAUAAGUAUAAAGUUAGGUAGAAAUACUUAGCGAGAUAAAUGGGGGUGCUCUCCCCCAAGCUGAAUUUUGACGUAAUUUAUCUUGAUGUAGCUAGCAGGUGGCAGAGGUGUAUUUAAAAGUCAGCAGUAUUCUGACAGCGAUUAGAAUGUCCUCCGUCUGCUAGUCUUCUUGAUUCUUAAAUUCUGUGGAGCUCAAAUAGACAACAAAGUUUGUGGAACUAAUUAAGUGUUAGCAUAAAUAUCUAGCCUUCAUCACGUUGAGCUUCCUCAAUAAAUAUUACUCCCUGUUUUUAUAUUUUUAUUUUAUAAAGUAGAAAAGAAAUAUUUAUUUUAUUUUUAUGCCACCACAGUGAAGGUACUUAUGGGUUUUAUGCCACUCGUAUACUCACAUGGGGCCUUAGUAUUUUUUAACAUUUUUAUUUUCUUCUCAAGAUAGCAUGAUUAACUAAUAAUCUAUUUAAGGAAAGUAAAUAAUUAAAUGGAAAAGGGAAUGCAGAAAGGAUAAAUAUGGAUAACUACCAAUCUUACCUUUCGGCGAGGGUUCAAUGUUUUAAGUCUUCUUGUCAAGACUUCUCAUCGUAUUCAUUCUUCAGGUGCGUCAUUUGAUUCAGGUGCGGACCUUGACGUCUGCACCUUUUAAUACGGUGUCACCCAUGUUCUUCGUUUGCCCAGCAGUUCGAAGUGCGGUGUUAGCAGUAUCUUGCUCAGUGUGUUUGUGCUUGUAGUGUACCUGCUCAUAGAGACAAGGCAGAGAUCAAGUGCAUGGGCCCUGUUGGUGGAAAACACCAACAGAACCAAAAGUGUAUUUGUUCUUCUCUAACCUUAAGCAUAGUGAGCAAGACAAGUUGAUGGAUGAUAAGUUCAUGAGUGUAGCACUUAUAACAUUUGUCAGAUCAGAUCGCUCAACCUUAUGGAAAGAUAAUCUAUCUAUGUAUAUGUCUUUUUCUUUAUAUCUCUUAAUGAUUGAAUGUGUAAAAUUUUAGCUCAUAUGAUUAGGAGUGUGGGAUCAUGGAGGUAGUACUAAGAACAAGGAUUAAAGGACUAAACAUGUUGAAUCAGUUGGGUUGGUUAAUCUAGAGUUGUAAAUCAUACACGUUUGUCUCUUUUAUUUAUAUGAACGCCAGAACCAAGGAGAAGCUUAUAAAAGAGAUAGUCAAGUACCUUAAGAUGUUACCUUGCUCGAAGAGUGAUGGUACAGUAUCAUCUUGUGGAAGCUUUCCUUUCUUAGCGGUUGUGCGUCGUGUUUGUGGCACCCUCCAUGGAUCAUCUCUCUAUGAUGAAUGAGCUAUGUCCUUCUUGUGCAAAUUGUUAAACUUCAUGUGUCACUCUCUUCGUCUCUGAUGUGAGUUUAUCUCAGGACUUCCCAAAUCGAUAUUGAAAGUUUUUCUGCAGGGGUUAGUCCGACAAAAUAUACCAAUAUCUACUCAAGCAGUUUUUUUUUAGUUCAAUAACCAAACUAGACUCCAUGUCUAAUCAGAUUAAGGAAGGCUAUUUAACCUAAGCACCAUGCUUAAUUUAAAUGUCAAUGGAAGUAUGGCGAGUACUUCCAAACCAACACUUGCUAGUAAAUAGACAAAGGUAGCAUGACAGCAUUUAUAGAGAUCUACUCAAGUGGAGAUGAAGUAGUGUGAUUAGUAUUUAACAAAUUGAGCAUGUCUCAAAGGUAGGGACAACCAGCAUAGCAACAUGGCAAAGGAUGUUUUUAUGUAAAGUAUUCCCCCAAGCUUGAAUUUUGCAAAAUUCAAGUUUGGAUGAAUUUAAUUCAAUGUUGUAUGAUGAUUGGUUGGACAUACCUUGUGCUUGUCAUUCAUCCGAUCUUCUUGCUCCAAUCUUAGAAAGGUUAGUGACAAGAAUACCCAAAGGAAUAUUUUUUUUUACAAUUAUCCUUAUAUGCUCAAUACACAAGGUAAUGUUGCAAAUAAUUAAAGGCUCAUGUUACGAUCUGAUCAAUGCUUAUUUUAAGACACUAAGCUUGUCCUUGGGAAACCAUCAGUUUAUGUUGGCGAAGUGGUUUCCCCUCCGACGCCAACCUAUAUCUAGAUCAACUCAACGAGAUCUGCAAUAUUUAUUAUAGGCAUAUGCAUCGACAACCGCCCUUUUAAAGUUUUUAUAAAUAGAAAGGAAGAGGGGGUUGGAGAUCUCAAGUGUGGUGAUGUCGGAGAGACCAAUAGAUUGGGAAGAUGUUGCAUAUGAGCAUGGAGUAAAUGAAGUGGCUAUGAAAUAAAUUCCAUGCUCAUUAAUGUUAUCUUCGUCUCUAAUCUGAAUGUUCGGAGUUUCUCCUUGAUUGGUCUCACCUAUGUCCUCUUCUGUAGUUGGAUGAAUCUCAUCUUCAAAGGGAGUCAAGAACUCACCAUUUGAAAUUGAGCCAAAGUCAGAACCCAUUAAGGCUUCUUCCUUAUCCAUCCAUUCUACACAUUCUAGCCAUUUAUAACUUGUGAUCAAAAUAGGGGAGGUGUUAGAAUUUUCUAUAUGGCUUAGCUCUCCUUCUAUGGCAUUACUUGACAUGCCAUCCUUAUGGUCUUCAUGACUCCUAUGGUUUGGUCGUCUUGGUGAAUUGCUAGGAUCAUCAUGAGACUGAAAAGAAGAGGGAUAAGAGGGAUCUCUAAGGUCAAGGAUGGAUUUAGAACUUGUGAACAUGGAAGGGGAGUAGAUAGAAUUGUCUAUAUGGCUUAGCUCUCCUUCACUUGAUACGUCAUCCUCGACUUCUUCAUGAUAGGAACCAGGACAUUCUCUAAGAGAAACAUUAUUGCAAGGAUUUGAAUUAUCCCUGCUUGAAGGUCUCUUAUAGAACCAGAAGUCUAAACCAUCAGCAUCUAAAAGAUUUAAGGUCGGAAUUCCUUCCUCCCUUGGAGAAUUUUGGGGUAUUGAUGGUUUAGGAUCGAUAGCUAAAGUUUGGGAUUGAAGUGGUUGUGAUCUAGCUAUCGAAACUUCUUCUUGUCUAGGAACUGGUUCUUUCUCUUUCUCAGGGAUAUAAAAGCUAGGAGACUUUCCGCUCAUUAAAUCAAUCAAAUUCCAAGCUUCACUAGCGGAUAGGUGGUGGAAAGAUCCUCCAGAGGCCGCAUGAAGGGUUUGCCUAUUUUUCCUACUAAGGCCCUCAAAAAAGUGAAUUAGAAGAACUUCUUCUGGAAUAGAAAGCUUUGGGCCAGUGAGAGUAAGGUUAAUAAAGCGGUCCCAUGAUUUGCCAAGAGAUUCUUCUUCCAGUUGUCUAAAAGAAAGAAUCUCACGCCGAAGUUCCACCACUUUGGAGAUUGGAAAAUAUUUAGAAAGAAAACUACUAUAUAACUCCUUCCAAUCUCCAUGAACACUCUCUACUUUGAGUUUAUACCAAUGUCUAGCUUUUCCCGUUAAAGAGAAUGGAAAGAGCUCCCAUUUAAGGGUCUCAUCGGACAUGCCUUCUAUGCGAAGGAGGUCACAGACUCGAUAAAACUAUCUUAGGUGUGUGUAUGGGUUUUCCUCACCUUUUCCUGAGAAAGGUUGUUUUUGAAUAAAUUCUAUGUAUUCGGGGUCUAUCUUAAAACUAGAUGCUAUGAUAGGCUUUGAAGAUUUUGGUGGUUCGAGAUGUGUGCCCAUAGGUCUAUGAAAUUCAUAGAUAGACAUGUUUGAAUUCAUAAUAGACCAGAGAUCAAGGAUUAGAUAAGAAGAAAGAAUAGCAGAGAUGAGGCAAAGGAUAAAAGGAAAAUAUUUUUUUUAUUUAUUUAUUUUUUAUAAAAUGAUUAAACUAGUUCGUAGUCAACUCAACAACUGUUUCCCCGGCAACGGCGCCAAAAAUGCUUGUUGACACUUGCUAACACCACUUCAAUACUAGGUUGUCAUCCCCAGCAUGGCACUAGAGUGUACUAUGGUAUUUAUACGCACACAGAUAAUCCGCAAGCGCACGGAUACCGUUGAAGCUUUUACCCGGUUAAAGGUUUUAUCGUAUCCACAGGGAAACAGGAGAACCAACUACGCUCUAACUUAACCAAGAUAUAUAGAUAGGUAUUAAUAGGAAAGAUAGUAGAAUUGAAUAAGAACAAUAUUAAAGGUAAGAUAACAGUGAGUGAUAAUAUGGGAAUAGAGAGUAGAGCAAUUCUAGUAUAUGGGCGAUGGUAGCAGAAUAGAGAGGAUAACUAUGGUUUUUCUACUUCAAAGGGGUAUGUCUAUGUCUGGGACGAACCACGUGAUAAGAGUACACCACAAAGGAUGCUUAUCCAUAGGACGAUAAACCCUACCCGUCCUGCUAACGAGAGGUGGACUACAGGGGACCAACGUAACUGUCACCUACGCGGCCUACCACACGAUCCAGCUAGUCAGGGGAUAUCCACAAGUAAACUAGGUCUAAGCACCACGCUUACACCUAUACUACAACUCUAACCUAUAGGGUCCUAUAGAUUAGAAGUACUCAAAAGAGUUGUGAACCAGAACAUACAUGAUUAAUAAUUGCAUAAUGAAUUAGAAGUAGAUUACCAGAGUCAUCCCAUGAGCAAGCUUGAUUAGAGCUUGAUUAUGGCGAAGUACAACCGGAGGAAGAACCGACAGGCCGGCGUCUCCUCUAAUCCUCCUUCGCUCUCCAUCUCGCUACUAUCUAGAUCUACUCUAGUUUAGAGAAGAGAGGAGAGCUCUCAUCUCUAAACCCUAGCUUUUGCUCUGUCUAUGAAUAAUGAAUAAUGAUCAAGGGGUGCCUCCUCCAGGAGCCAGGGGGUCUGGUUUUAUAGUCCCCUCAAGUGAACCUGGGCCGUCGGAUCAAACCGACAUUGAUUGAACGGUUAUUCUUGAUCCUUUAGGUUGGUGGAGCAUAAUCCGUGAGAUUGAGCGUGAUUGGCCACACGAGGUGGGCGGGCGCCCAGUAGGACACGGCGGGCGCCCUGUCUCUGGCCCCGAUUCGCCUCCGCUUCGGUCUCGUGGCUUCUGGAGUCUUCUAGAUGUAAGAUAAUUGCGCGGCACGUUGAUAUCUCUAUGUAAUCCCGACGUGUGGGCCUUUCUUCCUUAUUUCCUGAUAACCCCCUGCAGAAAUAGACAAACACCAAAACUCGUGGAAUUCUGUCAGAUAAAACCCUAAGUCUAGAUGUUGAUUUCAUUUGGAUCCUUUUCUUUGUUUAUUUGAUAAUUAAAUUUGAUACUUAAGGACCGUCAACAAUUAUCCUUGAUCCUUUAGGUCGGUGGAGCAUGAUCUCCGAAGAGGACUCUGAUUGGGCACCAAAGGGAGCCGGGUGCCCUGGUCUCUAGGGCGGGCGCCCUGGGCCAGGCUCCGUUCUACCUCCGCUUCGUUUCCGUGGCUUUUGGAGUCUUCUAGACGAUAGAAAAUUGCGCGGCACAUUAAUAUCUCUAUGUAAUCCCGACAUGUGGGCCUUUCUUCCAUUAUUCCUGAUAACCCCCUGUAGAAAUAGACAAACACCAAAACUCAUGGAAUUCUGUCAUAUAAAACCCUAAGUCUGGAUGUCGAUUGCAUUUGGAUCCUUUUCUUUCUUUAUUUGAUAAUUAAAUUUGAUACUUAAGGACCAGCAACAAACUCCCCCAAGCAUACCUCUUGCUCAUCCCUGAGCAAGGAUAAUCUCAGCGAUGGAUCAGAAGUUGUUGUAAUGCCUUUAAAAGUUGACGGUAUACAUGCUUUUAAAUAAGAUCUCAUCUCUGAGUUAGAGUAAACUGUCAAGACUUAAAACUUAUUCAUUUUACCUUUCACCAUGGGACUUGUAACCGUCACUUCUGUCUAAUCAAGUGCCAUGUCUCUUAUUCUUGAUCAGCUAUAGCUCUGAAGUUUUUGCAGAUUUUCAAAUAAAACUCAGAGAUUUCUUGUAAGACUCUAUCAGAUCUCUCUUUUGUGGUAUUUCUGGAUCCUUACCAAGGCAGUGAUGGUAUAUGCCUUCUCUCAAGUAUGUAGUAUUUGUGGUACAAGGCAUAGUGAUAUUGCCUUCUCUCUCACCCUACUCUAAUAAGGCUUUGAUAUCUGGAGCUCAUAGGUGGGAGAUAAAAUGUACAUACUUACAAGACAUUUAUUGUAUAGUCAAACCAUGGAUCCAGAGAAACAAGUCAAUAAGUCAAAUCAAGAUGUGCAUGUGUGGCGAAUGAAUGGUAUAUGGUGAUGAUGGUGAUAACAAUGUUGAAAGCCUAAUUCUACUUGUUGCUCUUUUGAGGGGAUACAUACCUUGCUCUUUUGAAACAUGGGGAGAAUGAGAUGCUCUGUAUUUUUUCUAUCAGGUGGGUAUUUUGUACCCCUAAUUCUAUUGUCGGACACUUGUCCAUUUUUACCUCUCGUCUCACUUUUUCUUUUCUUUCGAGGUUUCGGACACUUGCCCCUUUUUAUUUCCUCGUAUCUUCUUUUUUUAGAGUACUCAUCUCCUGAAAUAAUAUUGCAAGUGGUACUAACCAAGAUAACUUGAGCAUUUAUUUCACAGAGGAAAAUAGAAAUAUUUUUGGCUAUUCUCUUCCGGAUUAGGAGUAGAAUAUUUUUGGGUGGUUCUGGAGAUGGAAUGGGUGGAUAUAUGUGGAUGCGUACUUCCAGGGUAGAAGCAGCAUGUGUGAAUGAACGUGCAAGUAAAUCUUGAUUUAAGCACAUGACAAGCUCCUAAGGGUCUACACAGCUUGACCACACUCAAUGCUCAUAAGUAGUAAAAAGUAAUUGUAUGGCUCAAAGUCUAGCAAGCAUGUAUAUAUGGCUGUGGUAGGAAUUUAAACUCUCAUCAUAUAGGAACUCAUCAUGCAAUAUUUUAAAGAUUUUUCAAAGAUAAAAUUCUCCAGAAUUCUAGCAUCUCUAGGAAUAGAUAAACAGUAGCUCAACCUUCCCAUAUCAUACCCGUUAACAACUU